Populus euphratica (Euphrates poplar) is the source of this 2068-nucleotide long non-coding RNA. RefSeq lists it as uncharacterized. The record is from RefSeq and is a predicted model, not a curated record. Lineage: Eukaryota; Viridiplantae; Streptophyta; Magnoliopsida; Malpighiales; Salicaceae. The transcript is spliced from 4 exons.
GUUUUAUAUCUACAUUAUCUUGAGAGAUACGAACGGCCACGAUCUGCACAAACUGUCAUACCUUGCAUUCUCAUCCUCGUCAAGCUCACAGAAGAUCACAACAUAAAACGGAGCAUCACCGUUCGACUGAGAGAGCCACAGUCUGACGAGAGCCGCAAAUGGGACUACCGCAUCUAGCAGAGCUGGUGAGAGUCCAAACCGGAAUCCUCAAUGGAAUAUCAAACCUCGAUCUCACUCUCCUCUCCAAACAACGACCUCUCCGCCGCCGCCAACGACGUCAUGGGGCCACCUAAGCUCGUCUCUCAGCCAUUCUCCGAUCAAACGGUGCCACUGACUUCGUCUUCGUAAAAGCCCCCCCGAUUACUACGACUGGUCUAUCGAGUCCCGACUCGACAAUCUCGGUGCCGCCUCUAUUCAUCACCGUUGUAAAAGCAUCGCCUUGGUUAAUACACAGGCCCCAUCCAAAAUCAUUGACUGCAGUGAUCAAAAUAAUUCAAAGUAUUACAGUGUGUUGUUCUGCACACUGUUUGAUUCAAUGCUGAAGCGGUUAAAAACUAUUUGUUUGCACUCAAAGAAGGGAAGAUAUCUAAAAAACAAAAUCAAUUUGAGGCUUGCCCCUGAGGAGACACCAGCUAAGCUGAUUGGAUGUGAGCAUAAUGCAGUGACGUGUUAGCUUGAAAACAUACAUUCCGAUAAAUACUCAUCUUUUUUCUAUGAAAUCAAGAGAUGGAAACUGUUCUUUCACUAUUUAGUAAGUAUCUUGACAUUCUCUUCUGUUAAGUAUUUUAUUUCACCUCAUUCUGACUUGGAUGUUUCUUUGGUUAUAGCCGAUCUCAUAUUGCAACUUUUAGCAUUCAAUGCCUCUUCAAGCUCCGUCCUGGCUUGCAAAUAUGUUGGUAAUCUUUGGAAGGAAGAUUAAUUGCUAAGCUGUACAGCUUAAUGCAAUUCCCAGAGUUAGAGAAUUUAGGAUCAAUCUCGAUCAAGAUUUGUUGGUUUUGAUCCAAAUUCUUCACUUCAAUGCCUUUUCACUUCCUGUGGUGUAAAGCUUACCUAAGGUCUUUUUGAUGUGCACAUGUACAUGUUUUCCAGACAGUACACGCUUCAGUGUUCUGUCUUGCUUGAUGCCAGUAUGAACACUUGGACAGUUUGUCCCAAGGAUUAAUGGCUGAGGUAGAUACUUAUCCCUGUUUUGCGUAAGGGUGGUGUGGCUGUUGUUUUGUAUACACGGUAUGGAAAUUUUGGCAAAAAAGAAAUGUAAACGGUACUCUUGAUUUGUUAUUCGUAUCAUGAAUGCUAACAUGGAACUAUUUUUUCAUUAAUCAAAUCGUCAACUGCUGUGCCAGCUAUUGAGUAUUCAAGUGGUCCAUGGUUCUAAACAUCAUACUGUCAAAUUGGGAUGUAAUGUAGUGGUCCACUCUAAUGUGGCCAAGAUCAAUGAUUUUCUGCCAGUCCGACACUAAAAUAAAAUUCGGGAUGACACUUAACGUUGAGUUGCUCGCAUAGAUAAAGGCCUGAGCUAGCCGGGAAUAUUUACUGCAAACAGCUGUAGAGAUGCAUAUCUGUCUCCGUGAUUUUGCACAUAUAUUUGUACAAGGAACAUCGUAAAUUGUGACAGGGAAAGAUGAGGUCUUUCAAAAAUAUUUGAGAUUAGCAGGGGAUGAUCCUGAAAGAUUGACACACAAGCGUAUGGAUAGAUAUGCAUGAGGUGAGAGAAUUAUGCCUAUCAUUGUUGUCUUACUAAUUGGAUUGAAGAGUUUUGAUCUCAGGUAAGCAAUUGCAAGACUCAAUCCUGAUUUCUUCUUGUUGGGUGGCGGAGAGGUUUCUCUGAAGCUGGCGAUAAGGACCUUGGAAUUUAUUCAGGACAUGAAGAAGACAUUUCCAUCACGUUUUUACAGGGAUUUAUUUUUUCUUUUUAGGACAGUAAUGAUAUUUGAAGUAGAAACUUUUGCCGUGCACUUCAUUGGUUCUUGGGAUUGAAAUUCCGUUGGAAGAUCUUUAGAUCUGUAGCGAAUUCAUUAAUUUUUGUUUCUAGCUAAUGUUAUGGCAGGGGAAAGUCUACUUUUGCCAA